UAGGGAAUAUUGCACAAUGGGGGAAACCCUGAUGCAGCGACGCCGCGUGAGUGAUGAAGGCCUUCGGGUCGUAAAGCUCUGUCGUAUGGGGCUAACAAAAUGAAGGUACCAUGCAAGAAAGGAUCGGCUAACUUCGUGCCAGCAGCCGCGGUAAGACGAGGGAUCCUAGCGUUGUUCGGAAUUAUUGGGCGUAAAGCGGGUGUAGGCGGACUUAUAAGUCAGGUGUGAAAUCCCAGGGCUCAACCCUGGAAGUGCACUUGAUACUGCAAGUCUUGAGUGUGGUAGAGGCUAUUAGAAUUCCUGGUGUAGUGGUGAAAUACGUAGAUAUCAGGAGGAAUACCGGAGGCGAAGGCGGAUAGCUGGGCCAACACUGACGCUGAGACCCGAAAGCGUGGGGAUCAAACAGGAUUAGAUACCCCUGUAGUCCCUGAGCGGGCUGGCAAGGCGCAU
This 450-nucleotide ribosomal RNA is filed under the name uncultured bacterium. RNAcentral describes it as "bacterial SSU rRNA". It matches the Rfam family "Bacterial small subunit ribosomal RNA", at positions 355 to 825 of the family's 1533-position model. The record is from RNAcentral.